Molecule: non-coding RNA, 887 nt
Filed under: Lens contradens
Lineage: Eukaryota; Metazoa; Mollusca; Bivalvia; Unionida; Unionidae
Source: RNAcentral
GAACACUUCGCUCUGAUGUAAAGUUGGCUAUCACUUGCAAACUUCAUAUGGUAAUUUACAUACAUUGCGAAAAUGAUUUAGUUGAACUAACCCUUCACGACUUAUAUUUCACCUCAGAGGUGAAAUAUUUGACCUAAAUCUAUGGUAACUAGACCAAAAGACAUAGUUAGCAACACCAAUGAAUUAUUUUGCAUACUAAAUGCUAGGAAACUAGGCUGCAGACAAAGUGAAUUAGAAAUGACCAAUGUGAGUGCCAGCAGCCGCGGUUAAACUCCAACUUCAAGUUAACUUCCUCCAUCACAAAAAUACACUCUACACAACACACACCAUAAAACGAUUUCAAGCAAACUUGUCUAGAUAAAAUUUUCUUCUCUUAUAUGCCCAAAUUAAUCAUUACAUGAUGUAUUAACAAACCACAGCAAAAAACAUGGAUUAGAUACCCAUUUAUUAAGUGGCUCAACCCUGCAAAUACUAAAAACGAAAGUUUCAAACUUAAAGAGCGUGGCGGUGUUCUACACCACAUUAGGGGAUCCUGUGGCUUAAUUCGAUAAUCCACGAACACCAAAGCUUUGUUAGUCAAAUAACAGCUCACGUAUGGCCGUAUUAAGUCUGCACAUUAAUGGGACAAAAGGAGGCACUCUAAGACAAAUAGUCUUCAUAAUACAGGUGACAUAUAGCCAAUACAAAGCAGCUCAUGGGAUACAAUUAAACAAUAUUAACCUAAGAAAUUACUAAACCUUUUCUUAAGGGAGGACUUAAAAGUAAGGCUGUAACAUAAUUGCAGCCUGAACAAGAGAUAGAAUGCGUACAAAUCGCCCGUCACUCCCGGCGAUCUAAGUCGGGAUAAGUCGUAACACAGUAGGGGUAGUGGAAGCUGCCCCUAUCCA